Molecule: long non-coding RNA, 1298 nt
Organism: Ornithorhynchus anatinus (platypus)
Lineage: Eukaryota; Metazoa; Chordata; Mammalia; Monotremata; Ornithorhynchidae
Exons: 2
Source: RefSeq, a predicted model, not a curated record
GGAGGAGAAGGAGGAGGAGGCAAGGAUACGCCCGGGCGCUCGCCGUAAUCCAUUAGGCUCUGGGCUAAAGGCAAUCCCAGGAGCGGACACCAAAUCAAAGAAAAAUCAAAAGCAAAAGGGGAGAACAGGUAGGGGUGGGGGCUGGGGCUGCGGCGGGACCGGCACCAGGACCGGGACCGGCACCGGGACCGGGACCCCCAGGGCUGGACCCGGACCCGGAGCCGGUCCCGGAGCCCGAGCGCUCUGGGAGCCCCGGACGCCGCGGACCCGGUAAGGCGCAUCCCAGCGACUGGAAUAUACCUCUGCGGAGACAAAGGACUAGGAGGACUUUCAACGCUUUCAGAAAUCAGCCCCAGAUGCCGAGCCCGCAACACCUCUGCACAUUUGAGAAAGAUUUCCUUUCGCCCAAACUAACAAGAUGUACACGGCCUUUUAGGCUAAAAACCUGUCGCCACCGGUCAGUGCCCGGUGGAGCUGAGUUACGGAUGUUGAGCAUUUAUGGAUUUUCUGAAAAAUGAUCGCAGAUGCCACUUGGCCUACAUUCUCCGCCCUCAACUGCGCGAUUUUUCUCUCCCCCCACCCAAUAAACCGUCUCUGGCUUCUUAUAUCCCAUCUGCACCUCUCUAUGGGCGGAGGAUGGGGUGAUUGCCCGCGUCGAGAAGGACGGCCUGGUGAGCGGGGAGUAGGGAGAAGGGAGAGGAGAGACAAGAGAGAGGAGAGGAGGGAAGUGGUGGUAAAUCCUGGACUCGCAACGGCCUUCCAAAAUGGCUGAUCCGUACUCGCAUUCCCCGGAGCAGCCCUGAAUUCCGGCCUUUUCCUCCCCUUCUCCUCCCCUGAUCUUCACUGCGACCUCCGGCUUCACAUCGAAGCGGUUCCUCGGCCGGGUGUGACCAGAUCGUCCACUCUGUUUAAUAACGGGUAACAAUUACAAGAAAAGAUUCCCAAAUUCUCAGAGGAGGGCGGGGUGUCCAGGAUCUGAGGAAGACCCCACCUUUCUCUGCGCCGGGCGUUUUCCAGGGCGUUAUGCAAAUUUCUGCAGCAGAAUGUUUGCUGGGUGGUUUUGCCGCAGCGCUCUGAUGUUUACAGGUUUUAACCAAUUAGGUUGGGCAUCAUGUAUGUCUAGCACAUGCCUGUCUGGGAAAAAAAAAGAUCACGUAGGUGGGUAUCCAGAAUGCAUAUAGAACAUCCGCAUUACCAGAAACAGUCUUAUCCGUGUCUGUUUGUGGGUAUAAGCACAUACACAAAAUACAUGAAUUCUUACUAACGACGAAAUAAAUUAUCUCACUUUUCUUUAUUUA